This 945-nucleotide unclassified non-coding RNA is filed under the name Hevea brasiliensis (rubber tree). The record is from RNAcentral. Lineage: Eukaryota; Viridiplantae; Streptophyta; Magnoliopsida; Malpighiales; Euphorbiaceae.
GGCAGCUCAAGAUCAGCAACAGCAACAGCCACAGCCGCCCAGGGUGGUGGAGGGUCUGAACCCCGCUGUUCAACAACAACUGAAUCUCGAAUCCGUUAAAACUCGAGCCGUUAGUUUGUUCAAGGCUAUUUCUCGCAUCCUCGAAGACUUCGACGCUAUCGCUCGCACCAAUGCUGUCCCCAAAUGGCAAGAUAUUUUGGGGCAAUUUUCUAUGGUGAAUCUUGAGCUUUAUAACAUUGUUGAAGAUAUUAAGAAGGUCUCCAAGGCUUUUGUUGUUCACCCCAAGAAUGUAAAUGCUGAGAAUGCUGCAAUUCUACCUGUUAUGCUGUCAUCAAAGCUGCUGCCAGAGAUGGAAGUCGAAGAUAAUGCCAAAAGGGAGCAAUUAUUACACAGCAUGCAACACCUAUCGGUAGCAUCCCAAAUUGAGAAGUUGAAGGUUAGAAUUGAUAUGAUUGGAGCAGCAUGUGAAAGUGCUGAGAAAGUCAUAGCUGAUACGCGCAAAGCCUACUUUGGAACCAGACAGGGGCCAACACUGCUUCCAACUAUUGACAAGGCACAAGCAGCAAAAAUUCAGGAACAAGAAAAUUUACUUCGCACUGCAGUAAAUCAUGGUGAAGGAUUACGUGUACCUGGAGACCAAAGGCAUAUUACUUCUGCACUUCCUGGUCAUUUGGUAGAUGUGCUUACAGUGUCUGAUGGCCCCCAGUCUUUCGCUGAUUCAUCCGGGACUUAUCUGAAGAAUACUCCUCCCUUUCCAUCGAGCAAUGUUAAUAGUCAGGGAGCUUUGUUACAGGCUUCUGGAGCACUUCGGGCUGCAGUUUCUCCUUCUGGGCCCACUUCCUUUGAUACUACAACAGCAUCACCUCUGCAACAUGUCAACUCACCUAGGUCUAGUGCUAACAUGAUGAAUACACCAUCUCCUCAGCAACAGACCCAUCAGCAACA